Molecule: ribosomal RNA, 205 nt
Filed under: uncultured bacterium
Lineage: Bacteria
Description: partial 16S ribosomal RNA
Rfam family: Bacterial small subunit ribosomal RNA
Source: RNAcentral
UACGUAGGGGCCUAGCGUUGUCCGGAAUUAUUGGGCGUAAAGGGCUCGUAGGCGGUCCAUCACGUCGGGAGUGAAAAGCUGGGGCUUAACCCCAGUCCUGCUUCCGAUACGGGUGGACUAGAGGUAGGCAGGGGAGAACGGAAUUCCUGGUGUAGCGGUGAAAUGCGCAGAUAUCAGGAGGAACACCGGUGGCGAAGGCGGUUCU